CCUACGGGAGGCAGCAGUCGGGAAUAUUGCACAAUGGAGGAAACUCUGAUGCAGUGACACCGCGUAUAGGAAGAAGGUUUUCGGAUUGUAAACUAUUUUAGACAGGGAAGAAAAAGACAGUACCUGUAGAAUAAGCUCCGGCUAACUACGUGCCAGCAGCCGCGGUAAUACGUAGGGAGCGAGCGUUAUCCGGAUUUAUUGGGUGUAAAGGGUGCGUAGAUGGAUAAACAAGUUGGUUGUGAAAUCCCUCGGCUUAACUGAGGAAUUGCAACCAAAACUGUAGAUCUUGAGUACUGGAGGGGAAA
Molecule: ribosomal RNA, 305 nt
Filed under: uncultured bacterium
Lineage: Bacteria
Description: bacterial SSU rRNA
Rfam family: Bacterial small subunit ribosomal RNA
Source: RNAcentral